RNAcentral lists this ribosomal RNA (468 nucleotides) under uncultured bacterium. Its description in RNAcentral is "partial 16S ribosomal RNA". It matches the Rfam family "Bacterial small subunit ribosomal RNA", at positions 28 to 507 of the family's 1533-position model. The record is from RNAcentral.
GACGAACGCUGGCGGCGUGCUUAACACAUGCAAGUCGAACGGAAAGGCCCUGCUUUUGUGGGGUGCUCGAGUGGCGAGCGGGUGAGUAACACGUGAGUAACCUGCCCUUGACUUUGGGAUAACUUCAGGAAACUGGGGCUAAUACCGGAUAGGAGCUCCUGCUGCAUGGUGGGGGUUGGAAAGUUUCGGCGGUUGGGGAUGGACUCGCGGCUUAUCAGCUUGUUGGUGGGGUAGUGGCUUACCAAGGCUUUGACGGGUAGCCGGCCUGAGAGGGUGACCGGCCACAUUGGGACUGAGAUACGGCCCAGACUCCUACGGGAGGCAGCGGUGGGGAAUAGUGCACAGUGGGCGGGAGCCUGAUGCAGCAACGCCGCGUGCGGGAUGACGGCCUUCGGGUUGUAAACCGCUUUCGCCUGUGACGAAGCGUGAGUGACGGUAAUGGGUAAAGAAGCACCGGCUAACUACGUG